RNAcentral lists this transfer RNA (63 nucleotides) under Facelina bostoniensis. RNAcentral describes it as "tRNA-Lys". The record is from RNAcentral. Lineage: Eukaryota; Metazoa; Mollusca; Gastropoda; Nudibranchia; Facelinidae.
AAUUCGAUGACUGAUAAAGGUGAUAGAUUUUUAAUCUGUUUAUGAGUUAAAACUCUCGAGUUG